RNAcentral lists this long non-coding RNA (484 nucleotides) under Heterocephalus glaber (naked mole-rat). RNAcentral describes it as "lncRNA (ENSHGLG00000039146.1)". The record is from RNAcentral. Lineage: Eukaryota; Metazoa; Chordata; Mammalia; Rodentia; Bathyergidae.
GUCUGCAGGUGACCGAGCCAGCCCUGCACCUCAGGUGGCUGAGCUGUCUGGCACAUGCAAAGGUCCUGAGGUGCCUCUGAAGAACUAGCAGAUGUUGCAUGUUGUGAGAUUGGAGAAGGCGCAGAGGUGAGAAAGGCCAGAGAUCGGGGUGAGCGGGCAUGGAAACUAUCCCGGGACCCACGGGCCGCCCCUGGAGGCUUCAGAGCCAAGCAUGAUGAGGUCAGAUUCGUGUUUUGGCAAAUAUCUCUUGAGUGGCUGCUGGGAGGGUCAGUGAGGAGGGCAGGGAGGAAGGGAGGUCAGCAGGAGGUUGUUGGUGUAAUCCACAGGGUGGCCCGGCUGUGGGCUGGGAGGUCCCGCGCUGGAGAAAGUGGGGGGAGGUGGGCGGCAGAGAACUCUCGGGGGCUGCUGGGAAGACACUGGGACAUCCGGGUGCUCCUCAAAGCCAGCGCUCGCGGACUUGCGGACUUGGGUUUCUUGGGUUUCG